This 161-nucleotide non-coding RNA is filed under the name Terasakiella magnetica. RNAcentral describes it as "Candidatus Terasakiella magnetica 6S / SsrS RNA". It matches the Rfam family "6S / SsrS RNA". Rfam says of the family: E. coli 6S RNA was the first non coding RNA to be sequenced, but its function was unknown until recently. It consists of 184 nucleotides that fold into an extended hairpin structure with a large single-stranded internal bulge. The 6S RNA specifically associates with RNA polymerase holoenzyme containing the sigma70 specificity factor. The record is from Rfam by way of RNAcentral. Lineage: Bacteria; Pseudomonadati; Pseudomonadota; Alphaproteobacteria; Rhodospirillales; Terasakiellaceae.
GUGAGGCUGCGAAGUGCGUAGGUGUUCAUGAGUCCCCGGGGCCAAUAACGAUACCAUAGGGAGCUGUCCCUGUUUACCUCGUGGGGUAAUUACACGGCGCCCACCUGCUUUGGCAGGCCUAUGGUGGACCUAGUAAAUAUCACGGCUUAUGUGGCUUCACU